This 253-nucleotide ribosomal RNA is filed under the name uncultured bacterium. Its description in RNAcentral is "partial 16S ribosomal RNA". It matches the Rfam family "Bacterial small subunit ribosomal RNA", at positions 524 to 776 of the family's 1533-position model. The record is from RNAcentral.
UACGUAGGGACCAAGCGUUGUUCGGAUUUACUGGGCGUAAAGGGCGCGUAGGCGGCUUGACAAGUCACUUGUGAAAUCUCCGGGCUUAACUCGGAACGGCCAAGUGAAACUGUCAUGCUAGAGUGCAGAAGGGGCAAUCGGAAUUCUUGGUGUAGCGGUGAAAUGCGUAGAUAUCAAGAGGAACACCUGAGGUGAAGACGGGUUGCUGGGCUGAAACUGACGCUGAGGCGCGAAAGCCAGGGGAGCAAACGGG